RNAcentral lists this ribosomal RNA (502 nucleotides) under uncultured bacterium. RNAcentral's name for it is "partial 16S ribosomal RNA". It matches the Rfam family "Bacterial small subunit ribosomal RNA", at positions 28 to 523 of the family's 1533-position model. The record is from RNAcentral.
GAUGAACGCUAGCGGCAGGCCUAACACAUGCAAGUCGAGGGGUAGCACAGAAACAGCAAUGUUUUGGUGGCGACCGGCGGACGGGUGCGUAACGCGUAUGCAACCUACCUUUAACAGGGGGAUAACGGAGAGAAAUUUCCACUAAUACCCCAUAACAUCGAUCAAGGCAUCUUGAUUGGUUGAAAACUCCGGUGGUUAAAGAUGGGCAUGCGUUGUAUUAGGUAGUUGGUGAGGUAAUGGCUCACCAAGCCUACGAUACAUAGGGGGACUGUGAGGUCAGCCCCCCAUACUGGUAAUGAGACACGGAUCAGACUCAUACGGGAGGAAGCAGUGAGAAAUAUUGGUCAAUGGGGGCAACCCUGAGCCAGCCAUGCCGCGUGCAGGAAGACGGCUCUAUGAGUUGUAAACUGCUUUUAAACAGGGAUAAAGCACAGUAUGUAUACUGUGUUGAAGGUACUGUAAGAAUAAGGAUCGGCUAACUCCGUGCCAGCCGCCGCCGUAA